RNAcentral lists this ribosomal RNA (1365 nucleotides) under uncultured bacterium. RNAcentral's name for it is "bacterial SSU rRNA". It matches the Rfam family "Bacterial small subunit ribosomal RNA", at positions 28 to 1394 of the family's 1533-position model. The record is from RNAcentral.
GAUGAACGCUAGCGGCAGGCCUAAUACAUGCAAGUCGAACGGGAUUGGGGAGCUUGCUUUCCAUGAGAGUGGCGUACGGGUGCGUAACGCGUAUGCAACCUACCUUCAUCAGGGGGAUAGCCCGAAGAAAUUCGGAUUAACACCGCAUAACAACACAGUACGGCAUCGUACAAUGUUCAAAUAUUUAUAGGAUGGAGAUGGGCAUGCGUGUCAUUAGCUAGUUGGUAAGGUAACGGCUUACCAAGGCGACGAUGACUAGGGGAUCUGAGAGGAUGACCCCCCACACUGGUACUGAGACACGGACCAGACUCCUACGGGAGGCAGCAGUAAGGAAUAUUGGUCAAUGGAGGGAACUCUGAACCAGCCAUGCCGCGUGCAGGAAGACGGCCCUAUGGGUUGUAAACUGCUUUUAUGUCGGAAUAAACCUAAGUACGCGUACUUAGCUGAAUGUACGGCAAGAAUAAGGAUCGGCUAACUCCGUGCCAGCAGCCGCGGUAAUACGGAGGAUCCAAGCGUUAUCCGGAUUUAUUGGGUUUAAAGGGAGCGUAGGCGGCUUAUUAAGUCAGGGGUGAAAGACGGUGGCUCAACCAUCGCAGUGCCUUUGAUACUGAUGAGCUUGAAUAUAGUUGAGGUAGGCGGAAUGUGACAAGUAGCGGUGAAAUGCAUAGAUAUGUCACAGAACACCAAUUGCGAAGGCAGCUUACUAAGCUAUGAUUGACGCUGAGGCUCGAAAGCGUGGGGAUCAAACAGGAUUAGAUACCCUGGUAGUCCACGCCCUAAACGAUGAUAACUCGAUGUUUGCGAUAUACAGUAAGCGUCCAAGCGAAAGCGUUAAGUUAUCCACCUGGGGAGUACGGUCGCAAGAUUGAAACUCAAAGGAAUUGACGGGGGCCCGCACAAGCGGAGGAGCAUGUGGUUUAAUUCGAUGAUACGCGAGGAACCUUACCCGGGCUUGAAAGUUAGUGAAGACAGCAGAGAUGCUGUCGUGGUUUACCACACGAAACUAGGUGCUGCAUGGCUGUCGUCAGCUCGUGCCGUGAGGUGUUGGGUUAAGUCCCGCAACGAGCGCAACCCCUAUGUUUAGUUGCCAGCGAGUGAAGUCGGGGACUCUAAACAGACUGCCUGUGCAAACAGUGAGGAAGGAUGGGACGACGUCAAGUCAUCAUGGCCCUUACGUCCGGGGCUACACACGUGCUACAAUGGUCGGUACAGAGGGCCGCUACUUAGCAAUAAGAUGCCAAUCUCAAAAAGCCGAUCACAGUUCGGAUCGGGGUCUGCAACUCGACCCCGUGAAGUUGGAUUCGCUAGUAAUCGCGUAUCAGCAAUGACGCGGUGAAUACGUUCCCGGGCCUUGUACACACCGCC